CGCAAAAAGAAACCUUGGGAUCUUUUCUCUCUGGAAAGGUCAAUUUAUUAUUUGCCACUGAUGUGGUUGAGGAGGGAAUUGAUGUGCCACACUGUUCCUCUGUAAUACGAUUUGAUUUACCCAAGACAGUUCGUAGUUAUGUCCAAUCUAGGGGACGUGCUCGUCAGACUGAGUCUCAGUAUAUACUAAUGCUUGAGAGAGGGAAUUG
RNAcentral lists this unclassified non-coding RNA (208 nucleotides) under Hevea brasiliensis (rubber tree). Lineage: Eukaryota; Viridiplantae; Streptophyta; Magnoliopsida; Malpighiales; Euphorbiaceae. The record is from RNAcentral.